GAUGAACGCUGGCGGCGUGCUUAACACAUGCAAGUCGAGCGAUGAAGUUUCCUUCGGGAAACGGAUUAGCGGCGGACGGGUGAGUAACACGUGGGUAACCUGCCUCAUAGAGUGGAAUAGCCUUCCGAAAGGAAGAUUAAUACCGCAUAACGUUGAAAGAUGGCAUCAUCAUUCGACCAAAGGAGCAAUCUGCUAUGAGAUGGACCCGCGGCGCAUUAGCUAGUUGGUGGGGUAACGGCCUACCAAGGCGACGAUGCGUAGCCGACCUGAGAGGGUGAUCGGCGACAUUGGGACUGAGACACGGCGCAGACUCUGACGGGAGGCCGCAGUGGGGACUAUUGCGCAAUGGGGGAAACCCUGAUGCACCAACGCCGCGUGAGUGAUGAAGGUUUUCGCAUCGUAAAGCUCUGUCUUUGGGGAAGAUAAUGACUGUACUCAAGGAGGAAGCCACGGCUACCUACGUGCCAGCCGACGCGGUAA
Molecule: ribosomal RNA, 480 nt
Filed under: uncultured bacterium
Lineage: Bacteria
Description: partial 16S ribosomal RNA
Rfam family: Bacterial small subunit ribosomal RNA
Source: RNAcentral